UACGUAGGGGGCGAGCGUUGUCCGGAAUUAUUGGGCGUAAAGGGCGCGUAGACGGCUAAGUAAGUUAUAGGUGAAAGCCCAUCUUUCAAGGAUGGAAUUGCCUGUAAUACUGCAUAGCUUGAGUGCAGGAGAGGGAAGCGGAAUUCCUAGUGUAGCGGUGAAAUGCGUAGAUAUUAGGAGGAACACCAGUGGCGAAGGCGGCUUUCUGGACUGUAACUGACGUUGAGGCGCGAAAGCGUGGGGAGCAAACA
Molecule: ribosomal RNA, 251 nt
Filed under: uncultured bacterium
Lineage: Bacteria
Description: partial 16S ribosomal RNA
Rfam family: Bacterial small subunit ribosomal RNA
Source: RNAcentral